AAUAGUCACGUUUUAACACAGGGAAUUAAUUCCCUACAUCAAUGAAAGUAAAUAAUGUACACAAACAUUUGAUAGGCAGUUUUGAUGUGUAGUUUAUCUUAAAAAUAAUUUUACUCUCACUAGAAUUUUUACUGUAUUGAAAAUGUUCUCCUUGGAGUAGUUUGGUUUGACAGUUAUAGUCUCUGUUUAACAUUUUAAUGGUUACUGAUGUGAUUGAGUACAAUCUUCUUAUGACCUUUAUUUUCAAUUAAUUAGUCACCAAACUCAUACUGGUGUAUUAAAUGUCCAGAGAUAUCCUGUUGACUUCUUCAGUUUAUUUUUCUUACAAGCAGAAUUGAUCUGCAUAUUAAAAUAAUUCAAAACAUAAUUUGCAUAUUGAAAUAAUUUAAAACAGCUUAAUUUACUGUUUAUGUUAUUUUGACAUUGAGCUGUCCAUCAACAACCCAUCUUUAAUAUAAGACUGGAAUUGAAGGCCUUUAUCAAAAUUCAAAUUAACUUUCUUUAAUGACAUAAAUAACAAGAAAGACAGUACUUUAUAUUGUUUUGUAGUGUUUUAAUUAAAAACUAAUUAAUUUUGGGGAGUUACAUGUAUUUGCAUAACAGCUGUUUCAUCAUAAUUAAGAAAGUUUCAGAUGUGCUGUACCAGCUAAUCAGUGGUGUAUAUAUACGAUAACGCUCUGAGUAUAUUAGAUAUUUUUUAUGUAGGGUCAGUUUCAUGAACUUAGGAUUAUUUGAAUUUGUUACUGAUGUUAGAGCCGCAAACCUGUCGCCAUUCAGAUAUUCUUUUUGUAGGACAGAGGUAAAGGGAGAUUACUCCUAUUAGGUAAAGAUCAUUAGCUAAGAUUCAAUUACAGGUCAACAUGCCAAUAUUGAUACCGGGUAGUUUUUAAGUUUACUGCAAGGAAAUGAUAUUGGUCACUUUUGUAUUACUAAAUUUUCUUAAUUAUGUAUUUGCAUGCUUUUAAUUGAAACAAAGAAAAGCAAGAGCUUGAUCAUGUUAGAAUUCCAUGCUCAUCACCUCAACAGAGUUGAGACAGGCAUAUGUUAUACCCCAAUAUCAGCAUCUGGUUAAUUAGAAUUGUUAAAGACAGUUUUGAAGUGCUACAUCAACAUAACUUACAUGGCUAGUUUUUUAAGGGAUGAUAAUUAGCACAUGGAAUGUUUCAAAAGCUGGAUCUGACAUUUAUUUCAUUUGAUCGACCUACAUGUAUGUAGGAUUUAAUUUUUCUAAUACUUCUGGUAAACAUUUUGUUAACAAAUUACUAAGCUAUGUUUGUUGGGGUCAAACAAGAAUUCAACUGACCUAUCAGGGCAAAAGUCAAGUCAUCAAAUUAAAGGUCAAGGUGACAUUUUGUAUUCAACUCGGGUAACAUUUUCAUUUUGUCAUAAAUUGCUCAUAAUAAAACUGAAAGUCAUCUGCAUGACCAUAGGUGAAAGUCAAUGGGUCAAAGGUCAAGGUUAUUAAGGGAACGGUUCUGGCCUUUAGGCCAAUUAGAUGUCAAGGUCAAAUUAACUGAUUGAAGAAAACUUAGUCAUCUGACCAAAACUGGUCAUUGAGUCAAAGGGUCAAGGUCACAUUUUAUAUAUUAGCUUCUGAACAUUUUGGUCUUUUUAAAAAGUCAUUUUAUACACAACACAAACAGUAUGGAAAGUUAAGACAAAAUUUUCUUUCUAAGAUUUGGCUUUCUCAGGGACUGCUCGUUCUUACAUUGAAUUAUCAAGAAAACAACUUACAAAAUUACAUAAUAAAUUUUAACCAAAUAUACGAAGGAUAAACUCUAUACAUUAGAACUAAAAUCUAAAAUGCUACUGGUUGGAUGGCUGAUGAUUCGAAGACUCCUUUUUAAAUACACAGGAUAUGUACUUUGGCUAUAUGUGACUCAUAUUUAUAUUUGAUAAAACUGUAUUUUAUUAACUUUGUGAUUCUCGAGGUAUUGUGGGUGUGGGUGGGUGGAGGUUGGGUUGCGGUUAGAGGUGAACUAUGUAAUCUUUAGAUUGUUCUAUAUAUUGUGUGUUUAUAGACAUGAUUCUCAUUUUUAAUACUGAAAAAUUACUUGUGAAAUAAGUUAAAUAUAAACACAAAAACAAAUUCAACUCUUUACACCAGCAACAUUUUAUUUAUUGUCAGAUUUGACUGUAGGUGAUUUUUUUUCUCGGGAUAACCACUGGGGACUAAACAUGUUAAAUGAGAAAAAAUGUCCAAUAUUACAUUACAUGUAAAAGGAAAUUGUCAUCUAAAUGACAACAUCUGGAUAAAAUUUGAAAAACAUACAAAAAGAAAAGCAAUCUGUCACUUCAAAAGAGACAUUAUCGGUCUAACAGACUGAAUGGAACAAGAUCCUGCACAGAUGUUUCCACCAUAGAAAUUUCUUUACAAUCUAGACAUAUAGAAAGUUUGUUGUAAGGUAAUCUAUAACCGUCUACUUUCAAAUAUAUGAUAUAUUUCUGUAGCACAAUAUUGAUUUAAUAAUCAUCAAACCGGCUCAAACAAGUUUGGUUUGUAAAGAUGUGACUUUUGUAAUUACUAGACAUAUUGAUAUGGUUGGCUAGAAAGAAAUUCCCUCUUUAUGGAGCCAGAGGUCCUGGGUUUGAUCUCAAGCAGAGGCACUGAAACAGUUACACGUAUCAUGACUUCUGUUACAAAUUUUUGAUACGUUUAUAGUGUAGUUAAAUACACUUGAUCUAAAGUGCUGGGAAAUAACCAUUUGUUAACAUUGGACAAGGUCAUUGCAUCCUCAUACAAUGUACCAAACACAUGUUCAAUUCCCACCCAGCUUUAAUUCAAUCAAUUAGCUAGAAAUCAUCAUUUUUUUAAGCAUUGUAACAUGCAUGAACUCAAUACCUUUUUUUAACAUUGUAAUAUGCUGGAAAUUAAUAUCUUUUUGAAAAAUUGUAACCUGAUGAUUAAGGAUGCAUGCAUUUAUUAGCCAGUAGCAUGUUGUUGUACAGUUAGAAUUUACCAGCGGUACCUCAGGGUACAUAUUACAUGUUACUGUACAGUAAAAAUUUACCAGAGGUACCUCAGGGUACAUGUUACUGUACAGUUAGAAUUUACCAGAGGUACAUCAGGGUACAUGUUACUGUACAGUUAAAAUUAACCAGAGGUACAUCAGGGUACAUGUUACUGUACGGUAUAAAUUUACCAGAGGUACAUCAGGGUACAUGUUACUGUACAGUUAAAAUUUACCAGAGGUACAUCAGGGUACAUGUUACAUGUUACUGUACAGUUAAAAUUUACCAGAGGUACAUCAGGGUACAUGUUACUGUACAGUUAAAAUUUACCAGUGGUACCUCAGGGUACAUGUUACUGUACAGUAUAAUUUACCAGAGGUACCUCAGGGUACAUGUUGCUGUACAGUUAGAAUUUACCAGAGGUACAUCAGGGUACAUGUUACUGUACAGUUAAAAUUUACCAGAGGUACCUCAGGGUACAUGUUACAUGUUACUGUACAGUUAAAAUUUACCAGAGGUACCUCAGGGUACAUGUUACUGUACAGUUAAAAUUUACCAGAGGUACCUCAGGGUACAUGUUACAUGUUACUGUACAGUUAAAAUUUACCAGUGGUACCUCAGGGUACAUGUUACUGUACAGUAUAAUUUACCAGAGGUACCUCAGGGUACAUGUUACUGUACAGUUAAAAUUUACCAGAGGUACCUCAGGGUACAUGAGGAAUAUUUAAGGUUGGAAAAUAUACAGAACAUUGUAUAAAGUAUCACUGUUUUUUAGAGAUGUAUCAUCGUCCAUCAGCGAUGUUUUCUGGAGUUACUGUUUCCUAGCUAAUAGAUUGCUCUUAAAUAACUACAAAAAUCCCACAACGACUCCCCAAAAUAUCUUGCUAUCUUAAGUGUAAAUUAUGAAUUAGCACUCUACUGUGUAUGCAGGAUACAAUAUAUAAAACAAUUACCGGUAGUAUACAGUAUCUAAAGAACCCUUUGUGCCUGUCAUUCUGAUCAAUUUUAAUCUUUGAUAAAUUUAUUGAUUAACUAGUUAUCCGUCAUGAACUUAAAUGGUAGUCAACGAUCUGAAGUGAAAUGGCAGGUAAUUUAAUUAUGUGCUGUCUGACAAUUUUCUCAUUAUUUUUCAUGAUUUCGACAUUUUUAAAUAGCAGAAGUACACUGGAUUUGGAUGGUUGAAGCUGAAGAGAAAAUUACAGGUCAAAAGUGUCUGAAGGUUAAAAUAACAUUAUACCUCUGAUAGACAAACUGUAGAUAUCUGAUCUGACCUGUGAUUAACAUGUUACUAUCCAAUAUAAUAUAACUUGUAUCCUGUUAGGGGAGGUAAUUCACUUACUGUUGAUAUAGAUAUUUUUCUGAUCUGAUGUUUGAUUUAAUAAACUGUCCAAUUUAACAUUAUGCAACUUUGUAAGUAAAACACACUUGUAAAGGGAGAUAAUCAACUUUCUGUUGAUAAAGAUGUUUUCUGAAUUGAUCUGACCUUUAAUUUCACAUACUGUCCAAUUUAUAUAACUUCUAUCAUAAUACACACUUAACAUACAACAAACUUCUUAGGGGAGGGAAUCCAUUUACUGUUGGUAUAGAUAAUAUCUUAUCUGACCUAUAAUUUAACAUUGAUAACAUUUGAAAUUAAAUUAUAAAUUAUAUUUAAAAUUCAAUAUAAUACACUCAUAUCAGUAAAACUCUCUCUUGUGAGGGGAGGUAUUCGACUUACUGUUGCAGUUUUGUCAAUCUUUCAAAAAAAAAACAAAAAACAAAAAACAACAAAGAAAUAAAGGAAGAAA
Pecten maximus is the source of this 4739-nucleotide long non-coding RNA. RefSeq lists it as uncharacterized. The transcript is spliced from 2 exons. The record is from RefSeq and is a predicted model, not a curated record. Lineage: Eukaryota; Metazoa; Mollusca; Bivalvia; Pectinida; Pectinidae.